Molecule: long non-coding RNA, 202 nt
Filed under: Mytilus galloprovincialis (Mediterranean mussel)
Lineage: Eukaryota; Metazoa; Mollusca; Bivalvia; Mytilida; Mytilidae
Source: RNAcentral
UAGAAGGAUGGGAUCAUGUGUAUAUGAUAAUAAGUACAAAAUUAAAUUUUAAAUGGUGAACAUUAUUGUGCAUAGCAAUUUAUGUUCCUUCGUGAUGCUGUUGAUUUAAAGACAACGCAUAUGCAAUAAAACAAGAUAUUUUUUCAUCGCUGACAUUGUAUUUUGAUAAAAACGUAUGCAUUGCCUCUGAUUAAACAUAUUA